AUGCACGCUGGCGGCGUGCCUAAUACAUGCAAGUCGAGCGAACAGAUAAGGAGCUUGCUCCUUUGACGUUAGCGGCGGACGGGUGAGUAACACGUGGGUAACCUAUCUAUAAGACUGGAAUAACUCCGGGAAACCGGGGCUAAUGCCGGAUAACAUGUUGAACCGCAUGGUUCUACAGUGAAAGGCGGCUUUGCUGUCACUUAUAGAUGGACCCGCGCCGUAUUAGCUAGUUGGUGAGGUAACGGCUCACCAAGGCAACGAUACGUAGCCGACCUGAGAGGGUGAUCGGCCACACUGGAACUGAGACACGGUCCAGACUCCUACGGGAGGUAGCAGUAGGGAAUCUUCCGCAAUGGGCGAAAGCCUGACGGAGCAACGCCGCGUGAGUGAUGAAGGUCUUCGGAUCGUAAAACUCUGUUAUUAGGGAAGAACAAAUGCGUAAGUAACUGUGCGCGUCUUGACGGUACCUAAUCAGAAAGCCACGGCUAACUACGUG
This 496-nucleotide ribosomal RNA is filed under the name uncultured bacterium. Its description in RNAcentral is "partial 16S ribosomal RNA". It matches the Rfam family "Bacterial small subunit ribosomal RNA", at positions 29 to 507 of the family's 1533-position model. The record is from RNAcentral.